ACGGGUGAGUAACGCGUGGGAAUCUACCGUACCUUACGGAAUAGCUCCGGGAAACUGGAAGUAAUACCGUAUACGCCCGAAAGGGGAAAGAUUUAUCGGGGUAUGAUGAGCCCGCGUUGGAUUAGCUAGUUGGUGGGGUAAAGGCCUACCAAGGCGACGAUCCAUAGCUGGUCUGAGAGGAUGAUCAGCCACAUUGGGACUGAGACACGGCCCAAACUCCUACGGGAGGCAGCAGUGGGGAAUAUUGGACAAUGGGGGCAACCCUGAUCCAGCCAUGCCGCGUGAGUGAUGAAGGUCUUAGGAUUGUAAAGCUCUUUCACCGAUGAAGAUAAUGACGGUAGUCGGAGAAGAAGCCCCGGCAAACUUCGUGCCAGCAGCCGCGGUAAUACGAAGGGGGCUAGCGUUGUUCGGAAUUACUGGGCGUAAAGCGCACGUAGGCGGAUAAUUAAGUCAGGGGUGAAAUCCCGCAGCUCAACUGCGGAACUGCCUUUGAUACUGGUUAUCUUGAGUAUGGAAGAGGUAAGUGGAAUUGCGAGUGUAGAGGUGAAAUUCGUAGA
Molecule: ribosomal RNA, 557 nt
Filed under: uncultured bacterium
Lineage: Bacteria
Description: bacterial SSU rRNA
Rfam family: Bacterial small subunit ribosomal RNA
Source: RNAcentral